UUGUCCCUGCGUUGUACGUGACUUGACCAUAAAUUCUCUGAACCGAUAUUUAUGGCUAACCAGGUGGUCGGGACGAUUGGCGGGAAUGCGGGUCUCUAGUCAGAUGCGCUCGAAACCAGUCGCGAGACUGCCGACUUGAACCGAGGGUUCGAGAUGCCGGUCUUUGACGGCAAUCGCGGGGCAUUU
RNAcentral lists this non-coding RNA (186 nucleotides) under Orrella marina. Its description in RNAcentral is "6S / SsrS RNA". It matches the Rfam family "6S / SsrS RNA". Rfam says of the family: E. coli 6S RNA was the first non coding RNA to be sequenced, but its function was unknown until recently. It consists of 184 nucleotides that fold into an extended hairpin structure with a large single-stranded internal bulge. Lineage: Bacteria; Pseudomonadati; Pseudomonadota; Betaproteobacteria; Burkholderiales; Alcaligenaceae. The record is from Rfam by way of RNAcentral.